UUUGUCUGAGUUGGCUCGCUCACAGAACCACCUUCAAUACAGUCCUAAGAACUGUAAGCAAAUGGCAUGGACAGGUGUUGCAGUCCUCUCUUACUGUCAGAAAACAUGAUGUAAAAGAAAAUUCCAUGUACCUGGAGGUUUUCUCAUCAUUCAGUACUGCAAAAGAUACCAAGACCAUGUUUCAGUCAGGACAUCGUAGAGGGCGGAGCCUCUGUGAAGAAUUGACACUUGAGGAAACAGAAAAGGGGGUAUUAGUUGUCUCAGGAAUCAAUGACUGCUCAGCCAACCAGAGGCUACAAAAA
Hypomesus transpacificus is the source of this 302-nucleotide long non-coding RNA. RefSeq lists it as uncharacterized. The record is from RefSeq and is a predicted model, not a curated record. The transcript is spliced from 3 exons. NCBI's taxonomy places the organism in Eukaryota, Metazoa, Chordata, Actinopteri, Osmeriformes, Osmeridae.